UGAGGAAUAUUGGUCAAUGGGCGAGAGCCUGAACCAGCCAAGUAGCGUGAAGGAUGAAGGUCCUAUGGAUUGUAAACUUCUUUUAUAGUAGAAUAAAGUGAUCCACGUGUGGGUUUUUGUAUGUAUACUAUGAAUAAGGAUCGGCUAACUCCGUGCCAGCAGCCGCGGUAAUACGGAGGAUCCGAGCGUUAUCCGGAUUUAUUGGGUUUAAAGGGUGCGUAGGCGGAAUAAUAAGUCAGUUGUGAAAGUUUGCGGCUCAACCGUAAAAUUGCAGUUGAUACUGUUAUUCUUGAGUGUACAUAAGGUAGGCGGAAUUCGUGGUGUAGCGGUGAAAUGCUUAGAUAUCACGAAGAACUCCAAUUGCGAAGGCAGCUUACCGGGGUACAACUGACGCUGAGGCACGAAAGUGUGGGUAUCAAACAGGAUU
This 427-nucleotide ribosomal RNA is filed under the name uncultured Bacteroides sp. RNAcentral describes it as "bacterial SSU rRNA". It matches the Rfam family "Bacterial small subunit ribosomal RNA", at positions 355 to 779 of the family's 1533-position model. The record is from RNAcentral. Lineage: Bacteria; Pseudomonadati; Bacteroidota; Bacteroidia; Bacteroidales; Bacteroidaceae.